UACAGAGGGUGCGAGCGUUAAUCGGAAUUACUGGGCGUAAAGCGCGCGUAGGCGGCUUUGCAAGUCGGGUGUGAAAUCCCCAGGCUUAACCUGGGAACUGCAUUCGAGACUGCAUUGCUAGAGUAUGGGGAGAGGGAAGUGGAAUUUCCGGUGUAGCGGUGAAAUGCGUAGAUAUCGGAAGGAACAUCAGUGGCGAAAGCGACUUCCUGGACCAAUACUGACGCUCAUGUGCGAAAGCGUGGGGAGCGAACAGG
RNAcentral lists this ribosomal RNA (254 nucleotides) under uncultured bacterium. RNAcentral describes it as "partial 16S ribosomal RNA". It matches the Rfam family "Bacterial small subunit ribosomal RNA", at positions 524 to 776 of the family's 1533-position model. The record is from RNAcentral.